This 871-nucleotide unclassified non-coding RNA is filed under the name Hevea brasiliensis (rubber tree). The record is from RNAcentral. Lineage: Eukaryota; Viridiplantae; Streptophyta; Magnoliopsida; Malpighiales; Euphorbiaceae.
AGUUAGUGGUGGAAGGAGUGAGAAAAGAAAAGAAGAGAUAUAAAAUGACAUGGAGUGAAAUAAUAUCAAAAGAUCUAUAAUUUUUGGAUAUUGAUGUGGAACUAGUUUCACAGUGCUGAAUUAUGGAACCGAGGCACAAGGCAUAGCAAGUAAGGCACCCACUGCAUGAGAAACCCAAAGGUGGGCGACCUAUAGGAAGCGCACCAAGGCACACCUCAUGAAGGUCAGCCCAAUGGAGGAGGAGGAAGAGGAGGAGGAGAGCCUGGCUAUGGCUGCUGCUGCAGCCUGCAUGUGUCGUGCUGCUGCUGCAAUACAUGUGCUGUGCCCUCAAAAGGACCGAAAAAACAGGGUUUAGUUGGUGGCUGUUGCUGCAGCGAGCAUGUAUUGUGCUCCUCCUGCAUGUGCUGUGUCUCAAUGUUAUGAAAUUUACAUUUGAAAUUUUGAUGCAUUGUGGUUUUCCGUAGAUCUAUGAUUAUACAGAAUUUUUUAAACAAUGGUAGUAAUGAGAUGAGGAAAGGAGAGAUGAGGAAAGGAGUCAAAGGACUAAGCUUCAUCUUAAUUGACUAAGCUAAAGCUUCAUCUUAAUUAACUAAGCUAUAACUAUUUUAUAUUUUAUUUAAAUUUUUUGCGCUUAGGCUCGUGCUUGCACCUUGCGCUAGGCUCCAGGACCCAUUGGUACCUUAGUGCGCCAUGCGCUAUUAAUAAUUAUGGUCCUAAUCUAACCUAGAUAGUUAAGAAUUUCUUUUAAUUAGGGCAGAAAAUACCAAGGAACAUGAUAAAUUGAAAUAUCAUUUUUAAUAUUGUGAUUGAAAGCUAGGCUAUCUCAUUUUCAACAUGCACGUGUGUGUAUACGUGUGUGUGUGUGUGUGUG